RNAcentral lists this transfer RNA (68 nucleotides) under Marmota monax (woodchuck). RNAcentral describes it as "tRNA.Ala". The record is from RNAcentral. Lineage: Eukaryota; Metazoa; Chordata; Mammalia; Rodentia; Sciuridae.
GGAUUGUGGCGCAGCGGUAGAGUGCUCGCCUAGCACGUGCGAAGCCCUGGGUUUGAUCCCCAGCACCA